GCUUCCGUGGCGCAGUCGGCAGCGCGCCAGUCUCAUAAUCUGGAGGUCGUGUGUUCGAGCCUCACCGGGGGCA
This is a non-coding RNA of Dictyocaulus viviparus (bovine lungworm), 73 nucleotides long. Lineage: Eukaryota; Metazoa; Nematoda; Chromadorea; Rhabditida; Metastrongylidae. The record is from Rfam.